ACCAGACUCCUACGGGAGGCAGCAGUGGGGAAUAUUGCACAAUGGGGGAAACCCUGAUGCAGCAAUGCCGCGUGAGUGAAGAAGUCAUUCGUGAUGUAAAGCUCUAUUAGCAGGGAAGAAAAUGACGGUACCUGAGUAAGAAGCCCCGGCUAACUACGUGCCAGCAGCCGCGGUAAUACGUAGGGGGCAAGCGUUAUCCGGAUUCACUGGGUGUAAAGGGAGCGUAGACGGCGACGCAAGUCUGGAGUGAAAGCCCGGGGCCCAACCCCGGGACUGCUCUGGAAACUGCGUCGCUGGAGUACGGGAGGGGCAGGCGGAAUUCCUGGUGUAGCGGUGAAAUGCGUAGAUAUUAGGAGGAACACCAGUGGCGAAGGCGGUCUGCUGGACAGCAACUGACGCUGAGGCGCGAAAGCGUGGGGAGCAAACAGGAUUAGAUACCCUCGUA
RNAcentral lists this ribosomal RNA (445 nucleotides) under uncultured bacterium. RNAcentral describes it as "bacterial SSU rRNA". It matches the Rfam family "Bacterial small subunit ribosomal RNA", at positions 330 to 792 of the family's 1533-position model. The record is from RNAcentral.